This 308-nucleotide long non-coding RNA is filed under the name Zea mays. Its description in RNAcentral is "long non-coding RNA (ZMAY_LNC001258)". The record is from RNAcentral. Lineage: Eukaryota; Viridiplantae; Streptophyta; Magnoliopsida; Poales; Poaceae.
UAACAACAUCAUCAUUCCUGGGCAAAUAUUAUAUUAUGUUUGACUGCAUAAGAAACAAGCACCGAGUGUCCCACUUACAUCAAUGUCCUUGACCUUUACAUUCUUAGUUUUCACCAGGUUUGGAUUCUCAAUCUCGAUCUGACUUGCUAUGCCUUUGUGUUUCUAACAAUGAUAAUGAAAGUAGUUUAUCAUAUGAUCGAACAACAAUGAAGACUAUGGAAUCUGUAUAUUUCAAAAUGAUAUAACGUCAUACUGGUUUUGUAAAAUCUUCUGAUUAUUCUUCUGGUCCCCCUUUCCCUCUUCUAUUG